Molecule: non-coding RNA, 915 nt
Organism: Meleagris gallopavo (turkey)
Lineage: Eukaryota; Metazoa; Chordata; Aves; Galliformes; Phasianidae
Source: RefSeq, a predicted model, not a curated record
CAGUGCAAAGUACAUGUCUGUCCCACCCCAAGGCUCAUCCCUGGGAUGGGAGCUGGAGAAGGUGUACUCAAGUUACGCCCUACCUGCAAACCUGCUUCUUGGUGCGUAUUGGCGAUGGCUGAAGACCAGGAAUUGACAGUAAGAGGAGCUGAACCUGCGAGCCUCGAGCCUCUCUGGAAAUACCACAUCUUAACUCCUCCAGAUACUUCCAUUUAACAUACAUAAGCAUGCAGGACCAGCCCUUAUUUUGAAUUUUUUGUCACUGACAAGGUGGAGAUGGCUAGCACUGGCAGCUGAGUCUUUGAAGGGAAAGAAAGUUCUUGUUCUUUUUUAGGAGAGAGCCCUUUUCAGUUGGUAAUGCUGAAAACACUGACCCCAGAAAAGUAAUCCUGGAAGGUACCUUUGGAGGUCAUCAAAUCCACAGCACUGCCCCAAGAAUGGAUCAACUCAACAUAUGCAACCUAUCUCCUCUCCUGACAAAUAUUUUCUAAUUGCUUUUGCAAGACCUCCAGUGACACAGGUCCUACAAUCACUCCCAGCAGCCCAUCCAAGUGCUUCACUGUCAUGACAAUCUGAAUUUUUUCCUAAUGUCUGAAUGUACUCCUGACUUAUGAUCUUCACAGUGGAUAAGAAGAGCAGACAGACUUCUGGCAGCCUGUUUUUGAAGACUCAUACUGCUGACCCUCAGACAUGUGUUAUGUGGUCAUCUCUCAUCUUCUUUGGGUUCCGUCCUGAAUUUGCACAGUCCAUUACUGCUGCAAAUCUAAGGGAGUAACCUUUCUUACCUUGAAUGUCUCUCAUGAAUUUCACCCUGGUUUAUCCAUCCAUUUAUCCAUUUUUUUGAAUCAGUUCACAUGCUAGUCUGUCUUUUCUAAGUAACUCUUCAAUAAAAAUUCAGUGUUCUUUUUCUGCAAA